Molecule: ribosomal RNA, 371 nt
Filed under: uncultured bacterium
Lineage: Bacteria
Description: bacterial SSU rRNA
Rfam family: Bacterial small subunit ribosomal RNA
Source: RNAcentral
GUAUGGUGCAAGCGUUAUCCGGAUUUACUGGGUGUAAAGGGAGCGUAGACGGAUUUGCAAGUCUGAAGUGAAAGCCCGGGGCUCAACCCCGGGACUGCUUUGGAAACUGUAGGUCUUGAGUGCUGGAGAGGUAAGUGGAAUUCCUAGUGUAGCGGUGAAAUGCGUAGAUAUUAGGAGGAACACCAGUGGCGAAGGCGGCUUACUGGACAGUAACUGACGUUGAGGCUCGAAAGCGUGGGGAGCAAACAGGAUUAGAUACCCUGGUAGUCCACGCCGUAAACGAUGACUGCUAGGUGUCGGGUGGCAAAGCCAUUCGGUGCCGCAGCUAACGCAAUAAGCAGUCCACCUGGGGGAGUACGUUCGCAAGAAUG